GAUGAAGAACGCAGCGAAAUGCGAUACGUAGUGUGAAUUGCAGAAUUCAGUGAAUCAUCGAAUCUUUGAACGCACAUUGCGCCCUUUGGUAUUCCAAAGGGCAUGCCUGUUCGAGCGUCAUUUGUACCCUCAAGCUUUGCUUGGUGUUGGGCGUCUUGUCUCCAGUCCGCUGGAGACUCGCCUUAAAGUCAUUGGCAGCCGGCCUACUGGUUUCGGAGCGCAGCACAAGUCGCACUCUUCUCCAGCCAAGGUCAGCGUCCAACAAGCCUUUUUUCAACUUUUGACCUCGGAUCAGGUAGGGAUACCCGCUGAACUUAAGCAUAUCAAUAAGCGGAGGA
This 338-nucleotide unclassified non-coding RNA is filed under the name soil metagenome. Its description in RNAcentral is "partial contains 5.8S ribosomal RNA, internal transcribed spacer 2, and large subunit ribosomal RNA". The stretch from base 1 to 120 matches the Rfam family "5.8S ribosomal RNA", at positions 35 to 154 of the family's 154-position model. The record is from RNAcentral.